RNAcentral lists this signal recognition particle RNA (292 nucleotides) under Castor canadensis (American beaver). Its description in RNAcentral is "Metazoan signal recognition particle RNA (ENSCCNG00000019634.1)". It matches the Rfam family "Metazoan signal recognition particle RNA". Rfam says of the family: The signal recognition particle (SRP) is a universally conserved ribonucleoprotein. It is involved in the co-translational targeting of proteins to membranes. The eukaryotic SRP consists of a 300-nucleotide 7S RNA and six proteins: SRPs 72, 68, 54, 19, 14, and 9. Lineage: Eukaryota; Metazoa; Chordata; Mammalia; Rodentia; Castoridae. The record is from RNAcentral.
UCUGGUGUAGUGGUGCAUGUCUGUAGUCCUAGCUACUCAGGAGGGUGAGGCAGGAGGAUCAGCUGAGUCCAGGAGUUCUGUGCUACAGUGUGCUAUGCUCCUCAGGUGUCCACACUAAGUUCAACAUCAAUAUAGUGACCUCCCUGGAGCAGAGAUCACCAGGUUGCCUAAGGAGGGCGAACUGGUCCAGGUGGGAAAGGGAACAGGUCAAAAUUCCCCUGCUGAUCAGUAGCUGGAUUGUGCCUAUAAAUGCCCACCAUACUCCACCUAGGCAGCACAGCCAGAUCUCUCA